GUGGGGAAUUUUGGACAAUGGGCGCAAGCCUGAUCCAGCAAUGCCGCGUGCAGGAAGAAGGCCUUCGGGUUGUAAACUGCUUUUGUACGGAACGAAAAGGUUCUCUCUAAUACAGGGGGCUGAUGACGGUACCGUAAGAAUAAGCACCGGCUAACUACGUGCCAGCAGCCGCGGUAAUACGUAGGGUGCAAGCGUUAAUCGGAAUUACUGGGCGUAAAGCGUGCGCAGGCGGUGAUGUAAGACAGAUGUGAAAUCCCCGGGCUCAACCUGGGAACUGCAUUUGUGACUGCAUUGAUGGAGUGCGGCAGAGGGGGAUGGAAUUCCGCGUGUAGCAGUGAAAUGCGUAGAUAUGCGGAGGAACACCGAUGGCGAAGGCAAUCCCCUGGGCCUGCACUGACGCUCAUGCACGAAAGCGUGGGGAGCAAACAGGAUUAGAUACCCCGGUAGUCC
RNAcentral lists this ribosomal RNA (450 nucleotides) under uncultured bacterium. RNAcentral's name for it is "partial 16S ribosomal RNA". It matches the Rfam family "Bacterial small subunit ribosomal RNA", at positions 354 to 796 of the family's 1533-position model. The record is from RNAcentral.